Molecule: ribosomal RNA, 468 nt
Filed under: uncultured bacterium
Lineage: Bacteria
Description: partial 16S ribosomal RNA
Rfam family: Bacterial small subunit ribosomal RNA
Source: RNAcentral
GACGAACGCUGGCGGCGUGCUUAACACAUGCAAGUCGAACGGAAAGGCCCUGCUUUUGUGGGGUGCUCGAGUGGCGAACGGGUGAGUAACACGUGAGUAACCUGCCCUUGACUUUGGGAUAACUUCAGGCAACUGGGGCUAAUACCGGAUAGGAGCUCCUGCUGCAUGGUGGGGGUUGGAAAGUUUCGGCGGUUGGGGAUGGACUCGGGGCUUAUCAGCUUGUUGGUGGGGUAGUGGCUUACCAAGGCUUUGACGGGUAGCCGGCCUGAGAGGGUGACCGGCCACAUUGGGACUGAGAUACGGCCCAGACUCCUACGGGAGGCAGCAGUGGGGAAUAUUGCACAAUGGGCGGAAGCCUGAUGCAGCAACGCCGCGUGCGGGAUGACGGCCUUCGGGUUGUAAACCGCUUUCGCCUGUGACGAAGCGUGAGUGACGGUAAUGUGUAAAGAAGCACCGGCUAACUACGUG